Molecule: ribosomal RNA, 492 nt
Filed under: uncultured bacterium
Lineage: Bacteria
Description: partial 16S ribosomal RNA
Rfam family: Bacterial small subunit ribosomal RNA
Source: RNAcentral
AGUGAACGCUGGCGGUAGGCCUAACACAUGCAAGUCGAACGGCAGCACAGUAAGAGCUUGCUCUUACGGGUGGCGAGUGGCGGACGGGUGAGGAAUACAUCGGAAUCUACUUUUUCGUGGGGGAUAACGUAGGGAAACUUACGCUAAUACCGCAUACAACCUACGGGUGAAAGCAGGGGAUCUUCGGACCUUGCGCGAUUGAAUGAGCCGAUGUCGGAUUAGCUGGUUGGCGGGGUAAAGGCCCACCAAGGCGACGAUCCGUAGCUGGUCUGAGAGGAUGAUCAGCCACACUGGAACUGAGACACGGUCCAGACUCCUACGGGAGGCAGCAGUGGGGAAUAUUGGACAAUGGGCGCAAGCCUGAUCCAGCCAUACCGCGUGGGUGAAGAAGGCCUUCGGGUUGUAAAGCCCUUUUGUUGGGAAAGAAAGGCAGCAGGUUAAUACCCCGCUGUUCUGACGGUACCCAAAGAAUAAGCACCGGCUAACUUCGUG